This is a long non-coding RNA of Eriocheir sinensis (Chinese mitten crab), 2621 nucleotides long. RefSeq lists it as uncharacterized. The record is from RefSeq and is a predicted model, not a curated record. The transcript is spliced from 3 exons. Lineage: Eukaryota; Metazoa; Arthropoda; Malacostraca; Decapoda; Varunidae.
GCCAUGGAAAAUGAUGCUACCAUGUGGGGAACACCUUACGAUGCUAGGCUACACACAUCUUGCAAGGAUUAUAUCAAUAGCCUAAUAGUUCGUGUGUGUGUGUGUGUGUGUGUGUGUGUGUGUGUGUGUGUGUAAAUAUAUAAAUAAAUAAAUAAGUAAAUAAAUAAAUAUAUGAAAUAAAAAAAUAAUAAAGCAUGACCCAUGCUGCGUGCAACACCAUCGUUGGUACCGUUAGUACCGAUACCAGUACCAGAGUGUGUUGGCCCUUUCUCUCUGACUACUUACUUUCUACAUGAAAAAUCAGUAUAUAGGUAUUAUGAAAAGACUCAUUAUCUAAUAACACUAGCAGCAGAUAUUAGCAAAGUUCUGGCACCAACUUUUCCUAUCUAUUGUACAUACUGACAGCAUAUAUGGUCCCGGUACUACUGGUACUGGAGUUCUCAGGACCAGUAUUAUCGGGCGUAGGGUAUCGGAAAAGCCGCCAAAUUUUUCCACUCUGCCCGGGAAUCAAACCCGGGCUCUCUCAGUUGUGAGCCGAGUGUGCUAACCACUGCACCACAAAGCCCCCGAGGCGAGGAGGAGGGUAAAGGUGGGGGCAGUGAAGGGAACUGUAGGGAGAUUAACAGGUGACACAACAGUCUGGAGAGGAUGGUAAAGGUGGGGGCAGUGAAGGGAACUGUAGGGAGAUUAACAGGUGACACAACAGUCUGGAGAGGAUGGUAAAGGUGGGGGCAGUGAAGGGAACUGUAGGGAGAUUAACAGGUGACACAACAGUCUGGAGAGGAGGAGGGUAAAGGUGGGGGCAGUGAAGGGAACUGUAGGGAGAUUAACAGGUGACACAAUAGUCUGGAGAGGAGGAGGGUAAAGGUGGGGGCAGUGAAGGGAACUGUAGGGAGAUUAACAGGUGACACAACAGUCUGGAGAGGAGGGUAAAGGUGGGGGCAGUGAAGGGAACUGUGGGGAGAUUAACAGGUGACACAACAGUCUGGAGAGGAGGAGGGUAAAGGUGGGGGCAGUGAAGGGAUCCGUAGGGAGACGCACUGGUGGAAAGUUAACAAUUAUUUUACGAUUUUUUCACCUCUUAUAACGGACUUUUAGCACAUUAACCCGGUAGCAGUGACGGGCCAAAUUUGUGGCUUUACCGUGUAGCAGCGACGGGCCAAAUUUGUGGCUUUACCGUGUAGCAGCGACAGGCCAAAUUUGUGGCUUUACCGUGUAGCAGCGACGGGCCAAAUUUGUGGCUUUACCGUGUAGCAGCGACGGGCCAAAUUUGUGGCUUUACCAUGUAGCAGCGACGGGCCAAAUUUGUGGCUUUAUCGUGUAGCAGCGACAGGCCAAAUUUGUGGCUUUACCGUGUAUCAGCGACAGGCCAAAUUUGUGGCUUUACCGUGUAGCAGCGACGGGCCAAAUUUGUGCCAUGAUAUCAACCCCCAAAUUAGAUGAUACAUAAUCUGAUCACAAAUGCUUUGAUAUAUAUUUUGAAAUGGUUUGUGUGAGGGGUGAUUUUUUCUCGUUUUCUCACUUAGAGGGACCAUUAAGAAACAUGAUCCCCGCUGCUACCAGGUUAAUGGACUAAAGUUCCCCCCAAUUAGUCUGUUAUAUCGAGGGUUCACUGUAUUUUGUUACGGACGCUUUGAAUGAGUUGAAAUAGGCGGAGCAAAGCAUCCAUGGUUUAGUUAGAUAGAAGUAUAUAUGGAAAAAUGGCCAAUAUAAAAUGAACUCAAAUCCAGUACGGCAGGCAGUAUUCAUUAUAUAUAUAUAUAUUUUUUUAUAACAAAGGAGGCAGCUCAAGGGCACACACAAAAAGAAAACAAUAAUAAAAAAAAAGCCCGCUACUCGCUGCUCCUAAAAAAGAAACAAAAGAGAAAAAGGGUAACAUGCAAGGGUUAUGUUCUGCAAAAAGUUCGCAUAAUGUGAAUUCGCAUAUAUGGAACCUAUCAUCCCAUUAAUUACAGGGGGUUAUGUUCCACGACCCGUUUCAGAUCCCUCUAACUAUUUAUUCCGGCGCCGUUUCACAAUAAUAAAGCACUAAAGAUUGCUUCCAGGGAGUCGCACCCUAAGUCUACGAUUUAAGCUGAUAAUUAGCUACCUGAGGAUUAACUUUAUGAUCAGAGGGAGGAAAAGAUUAAUUAUAGGCGAGGAAAGUGCGGGAAAAUAUUUGCACCCUCUAAAGUGUCACCAAACCUCACCAGCACCAGCGCCGAUACUUGCAUAAUAACGAUUUUUUCUCACAUAAAACGAAUACUUGGCACAUUUAGGUUAGUCGCAUAUGAGCGAAUUCGCAUAUUUCGAACUUGCAUUUAUCAAAUACCCGGUGUGUAUGGAAAAUGGCCAAUAUUAAGUGAACUCAAAUCCAGCAUACUACAAGUAGCUGAAUGCAAGAAACAAUAAGCACCAGCCUUUCUUGGCCUGCUCAAAGCCAAGCGAGGGAAAGUCUUCAUCCUCCCAUGGUUUUGUGGUCCAAGCCUGACCUUUCCCGUUCAUCAGCACCCACGGGUCAGAGCCAACAGGCUUUGUCCGAGUUCUGUAAGAAAUAUGCCGGGUUAUUUAUUUAUUUAUUUUUUUUUUUUUUACGUCGUGGCCUAUUGCGCUGGUAGGCUUCUUCCCGGUGGAUCCUGAUG